ACUUUUCUGCCACCGGGUAGAAGAGUCAAUCGCUGAACUUUCUAUCGUUAGGUCUAAGAAGAUAGAAAGCUUCGGCGUUUUUUAUUU
Molecule: non-coding RNA, 87 nt
Filed under: unclassified sequences
Source: RNAcentral